Molecule: long non-coding RNA, 1127 nt
Filed under: Heterocephalus glaber (naked mole-rat)
Lineage: Eukaryota; Metazoa; Chordata; Mammalia; Rodentia; Bathyergidae
Description: lncRNA (ENSHGLG00000041433.1)
Source: RNAcentral
CGGAAUCUUACUGAGCUGCAGGAGCGCUCUGUCUCUGUCUCUCCUUUUCCUCUCUCCCUGCCCUCCCAUCUCUUCUUCUCUCUGUCUUUCUCCUCUCUUUCCUUUUCUCUCCCCUUCCCUCUUCCUCUCUCCAUCUCUGUGUGUGUGUGUCCCCCCCGCCCCCGGCAUUAACCGAUAUCCCCAACCUCACCUGCUGUUUUGGAGACCAGCCUCUCCGAGCCCGGGCAGCUGGGAGUGUCCCCCCGCCAGGCCCUUCGGAGGAGCCCGGGUUGCCCGCUCUCGCUCCCCUCCCGCAGUGCAUUGUUAUGCAGCCCCCUUUGUUCCGAGUUCCAGCCCGUUUCUCUCCACCUCGGAACCGCUUUGGGGCUUGGCCUGCCUCUCGCCAGCUUAUCCUCUGCGCGGCUCUGAGUGUGGCGCCGGCCGUCAGUAUUCCCCGGAUGCCUAAAGAGUUAGUACGGGUAGAAAUUGCCCAGCACGUUAGGGGUGUGGACGCGGUGUGUAGGAAGUCUCCCUGCUUUCCACAGCCCCCGAGUUGGGAGAAAUGACAAUUUGCUUUUCUCCAAAGGUAAACAGAGGCAAGAUCGUAAUGGUUCUGAUACCUGAUUAGCAUGGAACUGUGUACUUCAGGCUGGCCUUGAGCUUACUAUGUAGUAUAGGGUUGGCCUCGAAGGAGAUCCUCCUACUUCAGCCUCCCGAGUGCUGGGAUUACAGAAUUCUUAUGGAAAAAGGAGGAAGUAUUACAUGAAGAUAACUGAGAAUUAUAUUCAGAUAUAUACAUAAAAUUUGUUUUUGACUGGACAAUCUAAAAAAUGGUACAAAAUUCUUUUCUUUUUUUUUUUACAUUGUUAAUACAGCUUUUGCUGUUUAUGCCACUGUCUCCCAGAGCUAGCUUUCUCGACCCUGUGCCUUAGUGCUUAAAAAGGAAUAGUUGUAAAGAAGCAAGCAAAAAAUACAGACUCUCUUCCCUCUUCAGUUAGUGCAGCCAGUAUGGAAAGAUAUUUAUUGGGAAAUUAAGCAAAAGUAUAACUAGGUCAGGCCCGGAGCUCAGUGGUUCCGGCACCAGCCUUGCAAGCACAAGGUCCCGAGUUCGAUCCCUGGUACCAAAAAAAAAAAAAAGUAUAGCUAGG